UCCCUGGUGGUCUAGUGGUUAGGGCUCAGGUGCUUUCACUGCCAAGGGCCUGGGUUCAAUCCCUGGUCAGGGAA
RNAcentral lists this transfer RNA (74 nucleotides) under Bos taurus (domestic cattle). It matches the Rfam family "tRNA". From Rfam's summary of the family: Transfer RNA (tRNA) molecules are approximately 80 nucleotides in length. Their secondary structure includes four short double-helical elements and three loops (D, anti-codon, and T loops). RNAcentral also lists the same sequence under 3 other names. The record is from Rfam by way of RNAcentral. Lineage: Eukaryota; Metazoa; Chordata; Mammalia; Artiodactyla; Bovidae.